AAUCAACGCUGGCGGCGCGCUUAACACAUGCAAGUCGCACGAGAAAGGGAGCAAUCCUGAGUAAAGUGGCGUACGGGUGAGUAACACGUGGGAAUCUACCUCUUGGCGGGGAAUAACCCUGGGAAACCGGGGCUAAUACCGCAUAAGCCCGUGAGAGGAAAGCAGCAAUGCACCGAGAGAGGAGCCCGCGGCCGAUUAGCUAGUUGGUGGGGUAAUGGCUCACCAAGGCGAAGAUCGGUAGCCGGCCUGAGAGGGCACACGGCGACACUGGCACUGAAACACGGGGCAGACUCCUACGGGAGGCAGCAGUGGGGAAUCUUGCACAAUGGGGGAAACCCUGAUGCAGCGACGCCGCGUGAGCGAUGAAGCCCUUCGGGGUGUAAAGCUCUUUCGACAGGAACGAUAAUGACGGUACCUGGAGAAGAAGCUGCGGCUAACUACGUG
Molecule: ribosomal RNA, 444 nt
Filed under: uncultured bacterium
Lineage: Bacteria
Description: partial 16S ribosomal RNA
Rfam family: Bacterial small subunit ribosomal RNA
Source: RNAcentral